RNAcentral lists this ribosomal RNA (236 nucleotides) under Papiliotrema flavescens. Its description in RNAcentral is "partial large subunit ribosomal RNA". Lineage: Eukaryota; Fungi; Basidiomycota; Tremellomycetes; Tremellales; Rhynchogastremaceae. The record is from RNAcentral.
AAACGAUUGAAGUCAGUCGUGACUGAGAGGCUCAGCCGGUUCUGCCGGUGUAUUCCCCUCAGUCGGGUCAACAUCAGUUUUGUUCGGUGGAUAAGGGCAGUUGGAAGGUGGCACCCUCGGGUGUGUUAUAGCCAGCUGUCGCAUACAUCGGAUGAGACUGAGGAAUGCAGCUCGCCUUUAUGGCCGGGGUUCGCCCACGUUCGAGCUUAGGAUGUUGACAUAAUGGCUUUAAACGA